This is a non-coding RNA of Lupinus albus (white lupine), 302 nucleotides long. The record is from the annotation of a GenBank genome assembly. Lineage: Eukaryota; Viridiplantae; Streptophyta; Magnoliopsida; Fabales; Fabaceae.
UUGUGACCACCUCUUUAAUGUCUUGAUUACUCUGAUUUGUAGCCUGCUCAUAAUUGACAUCUUAAUGCUUGUUGUUUCUGAUUUUUGCAUUCAAGAUUAUCUACCAAUGCCGCUUAAUGAUUCUGAUUGUAACUGAAAACUAUUGAUUUUGACAUUUUUCAGAAUUGUGUUCACUGCUGCCCCUUGGUUGGUUUAGAGAGAUUAAUUAGCUUCAAAUCUUCCUUUACGGGUGUAUGAUCAACUCCAAUGUUAGGUGCAGGACCCAUCUUGUUCAAUCUUUCUCCGGAAGGGAAGUUGAAUGA